CAUGGCGCAGCUACCAUGCAGUCGAACGGUAGCACACAGAGCUUGCUCUCGGGUGACGAGUGGCGGACGGGUGAGUAAUGUCUGGGAAACUGCCUGAUGGAGGGGGAUAACUACUGGAAACGGUAGCUAAUACCGCAUAACGUCUCACGACCAAAGAGGGGGACCUUCGGGCCUCUUGCCAUCACAUGUGCCCAGAUGGGAUUAUCUAGUAGGUGGGGUAAUGGCUCACCUAGGCGACAAUCCCUAUCUGGUCUGAGAGGAUGACCACCCACACUGGAACUGAGACACGGUCCACACUCCUACGGGAGGCAGCAGUGGGGAAUAUUGCACAAUGGGCGCAAGCCUGAUGCACCCAUGCCGCGUGUAUGAAAAAAGCCUUCGGGUUGUAAAGUACUUUCACCGGGGAGGAAGGCGUUGUGGUUAAUAACCGCACCGAUUGACGUUACCCGCACAAAAAACACCGGCUAACUCCGUGCCACCACCCGCGGUAAUACGGAGGGUGCAAGCGUUAAUCGGAAUUACUGGGCGUAAAGCGCACGCACGCGGUCUGUCAAGUCUGAUGUGAAAUCCCCGGGCUCAACCUGGGAACUGCAUUCUAAACUGGCAGGCUUGAGUCUUGUAUAGGGGGGUAUAAUUCCAGGUGUAUCGGUGAAAUGCGUAUAGAUCUGGAGGAAUACCGGUGGCGAAGGCGGCCCCCUGGACAAAGACUGACGCUCACGUGCGAAAGCGUGGGGAGCAAACAGGAUUAUAUACCCUGGUAGUCCACGCUGUAAACGAUGUCUACUUGGAGGUUGUGCCCUUGAGGCGUGUCUUCCGGAGCUAACGCGUUAAGUCUACCGCCCUGGGGGAGUACAGCCGCAAUGUGAAAACACACAUGAGUUGACGCGGGGCGCGCACACGCGGUGGUAGCAUGUGGUUUUAUUUCUAUGCACGCGAGAUCCUUAUCCUACUCUUGACAUCUACAGACUUGUCAGAGAUGGCUUGUGCCUUCUGGAACUCUGAGACAGUGCUGCAUGCUGUCGUCACUCUGUUGUGAAAUGAUUGUGGUUAAGUCCCGCACGAGCGCCACCCUUAUCCUUGUGCAGCGAUUCGUC
This 1094-nucleotide ribosomal RNA is filed under the name Pantoea agglomerans. Its description in RNAcentral is "bacterial SSU rRNA". It matches the Rfam family "Bacterial small subunit ribosomal RNA", at positions 38 to 1127 of the family's 1533-position model. Lineage: Bacteria; Pseudomonadati; Pseudomonadota; Gammaproteobacteria; Enterobacterales; Erwiniaceae. The record is from RNAcentral.